This 56-nucleotide transfer RNA is filed under the name Dimorphostylis asiatica. Its description in RNAcentral is "tRNA-Arg". Lineage: Eukaryota; Metazoa; Arthropoda; Malacostraca; Cumacea; Diastylidae. The record is from RNAcentral.
AAGCAAAUAUAAAACUGAUUUCGACUCAGCUUAUGGUUUCGUAUAACCUUUGCUUA